Molecule: microRNA precursor, 162 nt
Organism: Medicago truncatula (barrel medic)
Lineage: Eukaryota; Viridiplantae; Streptophyta; Magnoliopsida; Fabales; Fabaceae
Rfam family: MIR2619 microRNA precursor family
Source: Rfam
AAACAGCCCCCUAUGUUUUGAUUCUUUGGCAGCUUUGGACCCCAAGGCAAAAAAAAAUAUGACACGUGACACCUCACUUAAGAUGCCACGUCAGCGUUGACCGAGUCAACAAUGGAUUGGGGGUCCAAAACUGCCAAAGAAUCAAAACAUAGGGGGCUGUUU